CCUGGCUCAGAAUCAACGCUGGCGGCGUGCNUAACACAAGCAAGUCGAACGCGAAAGCCCCGCAAGGGGCAAGUAGAGUGGCAGACGGGUGAGUAACACGUGGGUGACCUGCCUUCGAGCGGGGGAUAACGUCCCGAAAGGGACGCUAAUACCGCAUAACAUCCUGCCUUUGAAGAGGUGGAGAUCAAAGCUGGGGAUCGCAAGACCCGGCACUUGAAGAGGGGCCCGCGUCUGAUUAGCUAGUUGGUGGGGUAACGGCCUACCAAGGCAACGAUCAGUAUCCGGCCUGAGAGGGCGGACGGACACACUGGGACUGAGACACGGCCCAGACUCCUACGGGAGGCAGCAGUGGGGAAUUGUUCGCAAUGGGCGCAAGCCUNANGACGCAACGCCGCGCGGAGGAUGAAGAUUUUNANAUCGUAAACUCCUGUCGAAUGGGACGAACAGAUUGCGGGUGAACAGGCCGUAGUCC
This 472-nucleotide ribosomal RNA is filed under the name uncultured Acidobacteriota bacterium. Its description in RNAcentral is "bacterial SSU rRNA". It matches the Rfam family "Bacterial small subunit ribosomal RNA", at positions 18 to 474 of the family's 1533-position model. Lineage: Bacteria; Pseudomonadati; Acidobacteriota. The record is from RNAcentral.